GACUACUCUAUGGCUCCACAAUAAUCUUUCCUGUUGCAUGUCCAUCAAUGCUCCUGCUCCAAGCAUCUUCAGCCUUGCUUAGGGGAUGUUUGGAGUCGAUCACUGUUUUAAGUUUCCCUUCCUUCACAAGACUAACAACAAAGUCCAGGUCCUCCUUCUUGGGAAUUAAAAGCAAUGGCACCAACUGCUUCUUUGAGAAGGUUAGUUUCUUUACUGCAUAGGUCCACAUGGCACUAGGUCCAGGAGUCAGGUCGAUGACCUUCCCUUUCGCACUUAAAUUAGGCUCAAAGGUAGACCAUGGAAUGCCUGUAGUACAGUGAAUUACUGCAUCAUAUUUUUGGCCUGAUGGACUCUUAAGAGCUGCUCCCUC
Molecule: long non-coding RNA, 370 nt
Filed under: Nicotiana tabacum (common tobacco)
Lineage: Eukaryota; Viridiplantae; Streptophyta; Magnoliopsida; Solanales; Solanaceae
Description: long non-coding RNA (NTAB_LNC014871)
Source: RNAcentral